ACCACUACUUCCACAGCAGUUAAGGAUCCGUUUCCCUACAAUCCCGAUACGAUUUCAAGAGUUCAAUCCCAAUUCACUCAAACCGAAAUUUCCCAAAUCCAAAAUUAAAGAGUUCCUUUCAAUCCAAAUCGCAGAUUUUUUUCGUGUUUUAGCCCUUCUCCGGCGAACUUUUCUCGGCGGCGGCUUAUUAUCUGGCGAUAGUACUUCCCGGCAGCGUGUGGUUGAAUUAUCAAUUGGAGGAAAGGGUCGGGGAAGAUUGGAAAGGUAGAAUUGCUGGACUGGAACCCAUGAACUUCUUAACUGUUGCAACUCCACAUCUGGGUUCACAGAGGUCAUAGACAGGUGGGUACCUCAGCUAGACUCGAAUAAGUAUUUUUCCUAAACUCAAACUGUUAUUUCUGAUAUGAAUGUCUCUAUUUUAGAGCGACAUAGAUUGUAAAACUUUUGUGUGCUACUUGUUAGUUGUUACAGACAAGCUGGAUAUUUGUUCUGCCUCUAGAAAGCUUGAUUUUCAAUUUUUAGCUCCAUGCACACUCAAAGAUCGCCAAACUUUAAUUCUAAUUAUCCCUCUCCCGACACUGAGUCUUUUAGUAAUCAUAUAAAAUGUCUAGAGAGUCGAUUUUACUAAAGAA
Long non-coding RNA from Spinacia oleracea (spinach), 632 nucleotides. RefSeq lists it as uncharacterized. NCBI's taxonomy places the organism in Eukaryota, Viridiplantae, Streptophyta, Magnoliopsida, Caryophyllales, Amaranthaceae. The record is from RefSeq and is a predicted model, not a curated record. The transcript has 2 exons.